This 313-nucleotide long non-coding RNA is filed under the name Ananas comosus (pineapple). RNAcentral's name for it is "long non-coding RNA (ACOM_LNC035852)". Lineage: Eukaryota; Viridiplantae; Streptophyta; Magnoliopsida; Poales; Bromeliaceae. The record is from RNAcentral.
UCAACUCUCCUCUGUGCGACGACCCUCCGCUGGUCGGAGUUCCCCUGCCGUGUCGCCGGUCACAGGAUUUUUGAUGCCCUGGCCCGUCUUGUGGUAGCUAGAGGGAUUCCAAGGGCUGCGUUGGCCAAGCUCCUUUUUUCGGCCAUCGGAGACUUCGGCGAGCACCUGAGAGGUGUGCACCGCACUCCUUGGGUCUUGUGGAGACCCAUGCUAACCUUCGUUGCAAUUGGUGAAGCCCCGGUAUGCGCAUGGGACUUGGCCGCUUUCGAGAUCGAGCAAUAGGAGUUUUCUCCACUAUUUCGAUGACGUCCGG